This 103-nucleotide non-coding RNA is filed under the name Candidatus Oceanisphaera merdipullorum. RNAcentral's name for it is "Glycine riboswitch". It matches the Rfam family "Glycine riboswitch aptamer", at positions 7 to 90 of the family's 94-position model. Rfam says of the family: This family represents the bacterial glycine riboswitch. Glycine riboswitches usually consist of two metabolite-binding aptamers domains with similar structures in tandem. Lineage: Bacteria; Pseudomonadati; Pseudomonadota; Gammaproteobacteria; Aeromonadales; Aeromonadaceae. The record is from RNAcentral.
AAAUCCGAAGAGUGGUCUGUGCACUGUUAGACCCGCCGAAGGAGCAAGCCCAUUUAUCUGGGGAUAGAUGCGGUGAAUCUCUCAGGCUCCAAUACGGAUGGGG